UUUCUCGGGCCGUCACACGCAAACGCCCUGUUCUUCAACGUGAUGCACCUGUUGCUUUGCACCUGCUGCUCUCUCUUGCUCAGAUGAAUUCCCAAAGAUUUUUACAUCGUAACGUUUUCUCAGAAUUGAGGAAUCAUUGCUUAUGCCGUCUACUUCGAGAGACCCUGCUUGGUGUCUCUAAGUAAAGAGCCCUCGCCCACCCCCACCCCCACCAUCCGGUCAUCUGUUGGAUCUUCCUCAGAGCAUUUGCUCAUUAGUGUGAACGUCUACUCCUCUGUUUUCUGCCUCCUGGACAGAAAAGCAGCUCCCGGGAGGGCAGGUGUGCCUGUCUUGCUCACGGCUGAGUCCUUCGUGCGGGCACAGAAGGAGAUGCUCCGUGUAUUUAGGGGAAAAGGAGGAGAUACUUACCCUUCCACAUCCUCAUGGUUCCAGAGAACGUCCAGGAUGAAGAGAUGAAAAUGCUUUGCUGAGACUCCCAGGCGUUCCUCAGGUGUUUGCAGGCAUGGAUACCUGUCCCCCUCGUUUCUGGGGCAAAGUCUAGUUCCAGGGACAAUAAUGACACAAGGAAGGUUGAUUCCAUUAUGAGCAAUGCAAACACAGCCGACUUUGAGGUUCUCAGAGUAGCUUAUGAUGGUUUUUUGAAAUCUGCCCUCCCACCAUGGGGCACUGUGCAGACAGAGCACUUUGCACACAUGGGGUGCCCUGUAGUUGAACAGAAAUGGGGUGACGAAGGGUCUAUGGAGCUGGUCAGAGUCACCUCUCACUUUGUCCCACUCUUCUAAAACCUUAAGACAAAAUGGAGAAAUCCAAAGUACGUUAAUCACAAAAUAACUGUUCCUGGAGUGAUAAAGUCCACAGGAGAACAUUCAAAAGUGGUUCUUUGCUGAGACUGACCUUAAUUUCCAGGAUUGGCCUUCAGGAAAGGGAACCAACAGGAUCAUCAAGACGGAGUCUCUUGUCUGAUCAGUUCUCCAAGAGGAACGCAGUCACCCUUGUCAGCUCCCUGCCCAGCUCUGCCUGUCAUUCCUGCUGGUUGACAACAUCACCAUCAUCAGCCAUCAUCCAUCACCGACUAUCCAGAUGGUUCAACCACCAUCUCCAGGAUCUGUGGCUGUAAAGAAUUCAAUUUCCUCCUCUUUAAUAUACGAAAGAGCUGAACUGUGUUACCCUGCAGCGUCUUAAGGAAAAGGAU
Molecule: long non-coding RNA, 1192 nt
Organism: Acinonyx jubatus (cheetah)
Lineage: Eukaryota; Metazoa; Chordata; Mammalia; Carnivora; Felidae
Exons: 3
Source: RefSeq, a predicted model, not a curated record